ACAGAGCACAUGAACACUUACAUGUAAAAAACAUAACAGCGGCUAUGAAGCCUGAGCCUACCUGUCAACAGAAACCGAAGAUGAAAUGCAGUCAGAAGAAGGGAAUACAUGCUUUAUAUCAUUUAUAGUAUAGUAUCACCUAAUGGAACCUUUUGGAAAGAAACCCUGCAAAGAUUGUUCAAAACACCCUACAGGAUGCAAACAGGAGACCACAUCAUUGCCUAAGCUCUACAUGAAAGAUUCCUACAGAGUGCAACUACACAGCUUUGUGUUGACGAUAUCCUAAUCAAGACCUGGGAACAGCGCAGUACAAAGAAACAGAUCAUAUAAGCUACUAUACAG
Molecule: long non-coding RNA, 342 nt
Organism: Osmerus eperlanus (European smelt)
Lineage: Eukaryota; Metazoa; Chordata; Actinopteri; Osmeriformes; Osmeridae
Exons: 3
Source: RefSeq, a predicted model, not a curated record